AGCAAUCCACUUUUUAGGCCUAAUUUUUAGAUUAGCCCAUUAAGCCCCAAUACCCAAUACCCACUAAGCUAACCCUAGAGACCCUUGUAAACACUGAUCUUCCUCUCUUAACCAUACAUACACAAAUACACACACAGAGACAGAAGGACUCCAACCUAACCAAGAAAACCUUAGCCGCCUCCUGCUUGAAAAUGAAACCUCACCCAUUUCUUUCCCUUUGAAAGAAUCGAAAAUCUAUCCUGCUUUUGAUUUGGUUUGAGUUCAAUCUCCAAAUAACACCAAAGACAUUUAAUCUCAUAGAUCUAGUUUUAGCUUUAUUUUAAAACAUAGAUUUUCAUCUUCUGACUCCAAAUUCAUUGUUCCAAAUUCAGAAAUAACACCCAAAACUAUCUUGAGUUCUCUUUGAUUCAGAUUUAUUGCAAGAAGAAAGAUGAAUUUGUGAUGAGAUGCUUUGUUCGAGUCGAGGUUUCUUUUGGGGUCAAAGCCGAGGUGCAUGACAAGAUUCUUGGGUUGAGGUCCUAUUAGCAUUUUGUUGCAGACAUUAGUUUGGCUAAUCAAAUGGUCAUGUACAAAACAUAGUUCACAGUUCUUUUGUUAAUAUACUAAGAAGAUUUGCUAUCUUAAGGUCCAUCUCUUCCUCUGUUUUAUUGUCUGAUUAAGUUGUUGUUGAGUUUAACUAUUAAUUGCUUGUGAUUUCUUCCGUUACUAAUUGGUAUUUGGUUAAGUACGAUAUACAAUACUACAUGUUGUUGAUUUAGUUGUUGACGAACAUGGGUUAGGAUAAGGCUAAUUUAAAUGGGUUAUGAGCGUGAUUAAGAAUAUGAUACCAUGGUUUUCUUGCGUGCUUAUCCAUUGCCAGUGAUUGAUCUUUCUUUCUUUUUGUGUUCAUUUCUAUUGUCAAGUAUUAAGUCAUGGUCAUAUGUGAAAUCUUCAUGGCUGACAUGUUUUGAAUAAUAUAUAGUGAGAUAAUUUUGGUAUUGCUGCAUCAAUAAUAAAAAAUGGAAAAACCAGCAGCUCUUUGAAAUUGGGAUUUUGGGUUAACUUUAUUUUAAAUGGCUAAUAGGUCGUGGAGUUUGCUUCAAUGAUAAUGGGACCUUUGAAGUCUAGUAUUGGGACAUCAAUUAAAAAAUAUAGAAGAUUUGGACUUUGUUAUAGUUUAAGGUGAAU
Molecule: long non-coding RNA, 1167 nt
Filed under: Nicotiana tabacum (common tobacco)
Lineage: Eukaryota; Viridiplantae; Streptophyta; Magnoliopsida; Solanales; Solanaceae
Description: long non-coding RNA (NTAB_LNC006928)
Source: RNAcentral